Sander lucioperca (pikeperch) is the source of this 635-nucleotide long non-coding RNA. RefSeq lists it as uncharacterized. The transcript is spliced from 4 exons. The record is from RefSeq and is a predicted model, not a curated record. Lineage: Eukaryota; Metazoa; Chordata; Actinopteri; Perciformes; Percidae.
CUCUGGGAUGAUACUGCUUAGAUUAGACAGAGACAGAGUGGCUGUUUUUACUGUUGGAGUUUGGCUUUAAAAUGGCCUAGACCAAGUUCAAAUGGACCGAUCCAAAUGGAGAGCGUCGGUUGUCGCUAACAGGAGCUUCUUCUUAGGAUCGUCUGUUCUCCGCUCAAAUAUAGGUUUGUGUCGGAGACGGACUGUGGGCUUUUCUUUGUUCAAUUACACAUUUUUAUUGGGAUUUGAUUGGGAUUCAGUGUAGUCUCCUGUAAGGGCGGGAAAAGACAGACAUUUUAGAUUAGACAAAGUAACGCAUAUUGUAAUGACUGUAUUCAAACAUAGUCUGCAACAGGGCUGGAUAAUAUGGUUGAACUCAAUAUCACAUUCAUAUUAUUUUUCUGUAUAAUAUAUCAUAUGAUGAUAUGGCAACUGCAUGCAAAACCACAAAAUAUUUAAACCGAUGUUCAAUUAUGUGUCUGUCAGCACAUAGAACAAAAACUUCAAUAUUGCAUUUUGUGGCCCGAUAUAUACGAUAUAUGAUAGCGGAUAAUUUGUAAGAAGAUAAAACAAUAUGAUCAUCACAAUACGUUUCAUAUGAAUGCUGCCUUACUUAAAUAUAAAAAUAGUCUAGGUAGGUGUUUUGC